RNAcentral lists this ribosomal RNA (497 nucleotides) under uncultured bacterium. RNAcentral's name for it is "partial 16S ribosomal RNA". It matches the Rfam family "Bacterial small subunit ribosomal RNA", at positions 28 to 507 of the family's 1533-position model. The record is from RNAcentral.
GAUGAACGCUGGCGGCGUGCCUAAUACAUGCGAGUCGAGCGAACAGACGAGGAGCUUGCUCCUCUGACGUUAGCGGCGGACGGGUGAGUAACACGUGGAUAACCUACCUAUAAGACUGGGAUAACUUCGGGAAACCGGAGCUAAUACCGGAUAAUAUAUUGAACCGCAUGGUUCAAUAGUGAAAGACGGUUUUGCUGUCACUUAUAGAUGGAUCCGCGCCGCAUUAGCUAGUUGGUAAGGUAACGGCUUACCAAGGCAACGAUGCGUAGCCGACCUGAGAGGGGGAUCGGCCACACUGGAGCUGGAACACGGUCCAGACUCCUACGGGAGGCAGCAGUAGGGAAUCGUCCGCAAUGGGCGAAAGCUUGACGGAGCAACGCCGCGUGAGUGAUGAAGGUCUUCGGAUCGUAAAACUCUGUUAUUAGGGAAGAACAAAUGUGUAAGUAACUAUGCACGUCUUGACGGUACCUAAUCAGAAAGCCACGGCUAACUACGUG